UCUUUACAAUUGUAAGAUCAUAUUUUUGCAUUUUUAUUAUGAAUUUGUGUAUAUAUGGAUACUUUUAUAAAUAAAUAGCCAUUAAAAUUUAUAUACACAUUUAGGAGAAAGCGAUCACAUUUUAGUUAUGGAGAUGUUUUGUUUAAGUAUAGCAAAACAGUGAAACACUAAUAGGAGAAUGGAUAAUCUUACUGGCAGUUUGUUUUUUUUGUCUGAAACACCAAACUCAUCCCCAUUUUUCGCAUGUCUUUGUUUCUUCUUUUUGUAUUGAUUAAGUUAUGUUCAUUUUACUUUUUGCUUAGAUGUAUUCGAAUUAUUAGUUCCCUUUUUAUUUAUAAGGGGAUAAAAAUAGAUAAAACGAGAGGAAAUGAAUUAAAAGCAGUGGUUACAAAUGAGCUGGAUUCAGUUGUAUUUCCACUACGUAUGGCUCUGUAAAGUGAACUCAACUUGAUUCCUUUCUACGUAUGCAGACCGUUUAAAUAUAUAUAUAUAUAUGGUAGGCUAAUAUAGUUUUCUAAUAUUUAAUCAGCGUGAGUAGCGAAUAACGUGAUCGUUAUUAAGGCAUAUACCGCAUACGUAAUAUACAUAUAUAAUAGGACAAAUUUAUAAUAAGGUUAAUUUUCUAAUAUGUAAUCAAUCCAUGUAUUCACGGAAAUGGUGUGAAAUAUGAGAAAAAUGUUUUUUUUUUUUUGAAACACUGAAAAAAAUUGUUUUCUUGAAUGAGAUUUUGUCACCAAUGGACUCCUAUUGUUCGAGGACGGUUCAAAUGAUGGGAAAAUGAAUGUUUUAUUCUCCAAUCAAUUGUUAUUGGUAUAUUCAAUAUUUAAGUAUUCAUGAAGCAAAAUUAUUCAUGAAUUAAUUAUUGAUUAUUAUAAAUGAAAAUAAUGAUUUCGUCUAUUUUUAAGUAUAUAUUGAUUAUAUUAAUUUCAAUUUUUCACAGUCAGCAACGACGAUAAAUUUAGGAAUAAUUUUACGUAACUAAUAUUUGAAUAUUAAAUGUGCCAAUUAAAAAUAGUUGAAAAAUAAAAAAUAUAGUUUUAUGUUAUGUUUCAUAAGUUUUAAAGUAAAAUAUCAUUCCAUUUCUUAUAGUUCGAGUCAUGAAACCAAUAUACGUUUUUAUAAUGUUUACUUGAAAUAUCUAAAUUUAAGAACACAUUAACAUGCUUUUUAGUUUUGCAUGGAAGUAUAAAAUAUUACAAGAUAAGUAUAUAUAUAAGUAAAACAAAGACCAGAACCAUCUAUACUAUGGACUAUAAGUGAUCUUAAAAAUGUUGAGUACAUGAUCAAUAUUGUAUUUGAUGUUAUAGAUUACUUAUAUCUAUCUAUUUAUAUAUAUCUAUUUAUAUAAAGUAAGGUUUGCUCUCUCAUGGGCGCGCCACGUAAGCGGACAUGUCAGAAAGUCGAAGCCAUAAGUUGACACGUGUCCCGUUAAGCAAACCGCAUCAUUUCAUUUAUUUUGGUGUACAUUUCGUUUGGGCUUUGUCUACAUUUUUGGCCUUCAUUUUGCUUCAUAAAGCCCAAUUUUAGAGAGUAAGUGGUUAUGCUCGAAACGUGUCGUUUUUAAUUCUAUUGUUUGAUCUUGUUUCUUCCGAGUCGUUGCGAUAUCAGACGACUCUCUAGGGUUUUCGAUCAAGUUGUUUUAUCUUCUUCCUAACGAUUCAAAAAUCCAUCAAUUAUAGAUUCAUCCUAUUAAUGUCAUUCUUGAAUCAUCAUCUACGAUCUACCUUAAAUUCAAAAUUACUCUUGAAAAGCGGUGGAACUUCGAGUUUAAAAAGGUGAGAUAGACUGCAAGAGCGGUGGAAAUGUUAAUGCGGUGGAGGCGAGAUGUGGCCAAAUAGAUUGUAGGAUGUGUUUAUGCCAAGACGAGCGAAGACCGAGCCAAAAACGGAGAAGUGGAGCAGCGAAAGAGGAAACGAAGCAACAUAAAAACUGAAACCAUGAGAGGUGGAAAGCUCUCAUGUGAGGAUUACGGCGGAGAAUACCGGAAAGUUGUGGAUUUAUUCACUGAAUCUUUCCGCAGCGGCUCCUCCUCUUGGACAUCCACCAUGGCAAGAUUAUGGUAAGCGACUGAAUCUGACCCUGUAUUUUGGGACUGGUUCUCUUCUUCAUUUAUGAUAUUAUAAUCCUAAUUCAUGAAUGUGAACAAGAUACACACAUGAACAAUGAAUGAUUAAUAAUGGUCAAGGCCGGUUCAAGAUAUUAGUGGGCCCUUGGACAAAAAAAAUUAGGUUUUUUUUACAUGUAUAUAUAGACAAUUUAAAAAUUUUGGGCCCUUAUGCCUAUUUAUUUUUAUAAAAAUUGGACCCCUCUUUCAUACUA
Long non-coding RNA from Brassica napus (rape), 2319 nucleotides. RefSeq lists it as uncharacterized. NCBI's taxonomy places the organism in Eukaryota, Viridiplantae, Streptophyta, Magnoliopsida, Brassicales, Brassicaceae. The record is from RefSeq and is a predicted model, not a curated record. The transcript is spliced from 2 exons.